Molecule: long non-coding RNA, 750 nt
Organism: Suricata suricatta (meerkat)
Lineage: Eukaryota; Metazoa; Chordata; Mammalia; Carnivora; Herpestidae
Exons: 4
Source: RefSeq, a predicted model, not a curated record
UGGAGCAGGAGAGGCAGGGAAGGAACUCUAGUUUUCUACAGAACUGUUUGGAGGAUGGAAUCAGGGAUGAGGAAAGAGUUUUCGAAGGAGACAAGGACUUGGAGGAAGCAUGUCAUAAGGUCUACCUCCACAAGACAGGGCUGAGAACACAAGAGAAAGUCUACCUCCACAACACAGGGCUGAGAAAGGUCACCGUCCUCAACAAAGCCGGUUAUUGCCUGCGUUGGCACAGCAGCCUCCUAACCCUUGUCCUUGGGUCACUCUGCUCCUCGGUAAUCCAUCCCAGCUAGAGAGGCCUCUGCAGACUUUAAGGCACCCUUCUCUUCAGGUCACCACAUGGCUGGCUCCCUCUCAUCAUUCAGACAUAAGCAGAAGUUAUCACCACCUAGUUCCCAUGAACUUUCCCAUGUUCAUCUCCUGUACACACACACACACACACACACACGCACACACACACACACUCAUGAUUACCCUAUUGGUCAUCCUCAUAGUGUUUAUCAUUAGUGUAUUCAUAUUAUUUAUUCAUCAGUCUAUUAUUUGUUAAUCACCUUCCCCAACUGGAAAGAAGACUUCACAGAGUAAAACCACGUAGAUUAGUAUCUGGCAUGGAGAAGGAACUGAGAACAUACAUGCUGGAUGGAUGAUGAAUGAAUGAACUGAUGCAGUUAGCACACCGCAAGUAUUUACCGAACACACUGAAAUAAGCUAUAACCACUCCUGGAAAUAGAAACAAACCAAAGUUUAAGGAAA